Molecule: ribosomal RNA, 447 nt
Filed under: uncultured bacterium
Lineage: Bacteria
Description: bacterial SSU rRNA
Rfam family: Bacterial small subunit ribosomal RNA
Source: RNAcentral
AACGCGAAUUAACCUUACCUGGGCUUGACAUGCAGGAAGUAGAAACCGGAAACGGCGACGACCUGUUAAGUCAGGAACCUGCACAGGUGGUGCAUGGCUGUCGUCAGCUCGUGCCGUGAGGUGUUGGGUUAAGUCCCGCAACGAGCGCAACCCUCACCCUAUGUUGCCACCGGGUAAUGCCGGGCACUCUUGGGGAACUGCCGGCGAAGAGCUGGAGGAAGGGGGGAUGACGUCAAGUCCGUAUGCCCCUUAUGUUCACCGGCUACACACAUGCUACAAUGGCCGAUACAGAGGGUUCCCAACCCGCAAGGGGGAGGCAAUCCCACAUAACAUAAAAGAUCAUCAGUUCGGAUUGCAGGCUGCAACUCGCCUGCAUGAAGUCGGAAUCGCUAGUAAGCGCAGAUCAGCAGGCUGCGCUGAAUACGUUCCCGGGUCUUGUACACACCG